RNAcentral lists this ribosomal RNA (406 nucleotides) under uncultured bacterium. Its description in RNAcentral is "partial 16S ribosomal RNA". It matches the Rfam family "Bacterial small subunit ribosomal RNA", at positions 30 to 526 of the family's 1533-position model. The record is from RNAcentral.
AUUGAACGCUGGCGGCAGGCCUAACACAUGCAAGUCGAACGAGUGGCGGACGGGUGAGUAAUGUCUGGGAAACUGCCUGAUGGAGGGGGAUAACUACUGGAAACGGUAGCUAAUACCGCAUACCAUCAGAUGUUCCCAGAUGGGAUUAGCUGGUUGGGGGGGUAACGGCUCACCAGGGCGACGCUCCCUAGCUGGUCUGAGAGGAUGACCAGCCACACUGGAACGUAGACACGGUCCAGACUCGUACGGGAGGCAGCAGUGGGGAGUAGUGCACAAUGGGCGCAAGCCUGAUGAAGCCAUGCCGCGUGUAUGAAGAAGGCUUUCGGGUUGUAAAGUACUGUCAGCGGGGAGGCGUUACCCGCAGAAGAAGCACCGGCUAACUCCGUGCCAGCAGCCGCGGUAAUUC